Molecule: long non-coding RNA, 675 nt
Organism: Grus americana (Whooping crane)
Lineage: Eukaryota; Metazoa; Chordata; Aves; Gruiformes; Gruidae
Exons: 5
Source: RefSeq, a predicted model, not a curated record
GACAACUGUCCACCUGAGUGGAUGGUCUAAGGAGUACCCUGCCUAGGAAAAACAGAACUGUCUGACCUUCCCUGGAAAGAAGUUGCUUAAGAAUAGUGGCAUCAUUGUACGCCUUUGGUGUAUCUUACAUCUUGAAAGAGGCAGAAUCAAUUCCCAGAAUGCUGCUGACUUCCACGUAAGGAUACUGUUUCUCAAGAACACUAACCACAUGCUCCACUUUCAGCUGAUCUCCUGUUUUCACUUUGUUAUAUAUCUGAAAGCAGGAUACAAAUACAAGUUUACAGCUGCAACUGUAAAGCUUCUGUCCUUACCAAAGUAGUUUCAGAGCUGAUUGUGAGAUAAGAACAAAAGUUCCCCUGACAACUUAAGAAUGCACUGCCCAGUGGCAAAUAAGAACCACACCGGACGACAGUGUCAAACCGCAUCCCUUCUUUUCUGAUUUUAUCGCUAUUGAACAACAAGGGAUUUCUCUUUCAGAACAGGAAUCUCAGGGGACUUAAUACCAAAGAGCAAGGGAUAAGAAAACAAUCAUUCCAAUCUGGAUUAAUAAGAGACUGCCACUUCUGUGCAAGCAAUGGACAGUGCAUAAAUCAACACUGAAGAAUGUAGAAACUACUGGUUUGUGACAAUCUCUUUACAGCAGUAAGUCUAACUAGCUUAAGUUUUAAGAGCUAA